UACGGGGGGGGCAAGCGUUGUUCGGAAUUACUGGGCGUAAAGGGCUCGUAGGCGGCCAACUAAGUCAGAUGUGAAAUCCCCAGGCUUAACCUGGGAACUGCAUCUGAUACUGGAUGGCUUGAAUCCGGGAGAGGGAUGCAGAAUUCCAGGUGUAGCGGUGAAAUGCGUAGAUAUCUGGAGGAAUACCGGUGGCGAAGGCGGCAUCCUGGACCGGCAUUGACGCUGAGGAGCGAAAGCUAGGGGAGCGAACGGG
Molecule: ribosomal RNA, 253 nt
Filed under: uncultured bacterium
Lineage: Bacteria
Description: partial 16S ribosomal RNA
Rfam family: Bacterial small subunit ribosomal RNA
Source: RNAcentral